AGAGUUUGAUCCUGGCUCAGGAUGAACGCUGGCUGUGUGCCUAAUACAUGCAUGUCGAACGAAGCACUUGUGCUUAGUGGCGAAUGGGUGAGUAACACGUACUUAAUCUACCUCAAAGUUUGGGACAACGUUUGGAAACGAACGCUAAUACCGAAUAUUCCUUUUAAUCGCAUGAUUAAUUGGUAAAAGGCCCGUUUGGGUCGCUAUGAGAUGAGAGUGCGGUACAUUAGUUAGUUGGUAGGGUAAAGGCCUACCAAGACGAUGAUGUAUAGCGGGGUUGAGAAGCUGAACCGCCACACUGGGACUGAGAUACGGCCCAGACUCCUACGGGAGGCAGCAGUAGGGAAUAUUCCACAAUGAGCGAAAGCUUGAUGGAGCGACACAGCGUGCAGGAUGAAGGUCUUCGGAUCGUAAACUGCUGUUAUAAGGGAAGAAACACUUUGCUAGGAAAUGAGUAAAGCUUGACGGUACCUUAUCAGAAAGCACCGGCAAACUAUGUGCCAGCAGCCGCGGUAAUACAUAGGGUGCAAGCGUUAUCCGGAAUCAUUGGGCGUAAAGCGUCUGUAGGUGGUCUAUUAAGUCUGAAUUUAAAGCCUGGGGCUCAACCCCAGCCCGGUUCGGAUACUGAUAGACUAGAGUUAUAGAGAGGUAAGUAGAACUCCAUGUGAAGCGGUGGAAUGCGUAGAUAUAUGGAAGAAUACCAAUGGCGAAGGCAACUUACUGGAUAUAUACUGACACUCAGAGACGAAAGCGUGGGUAGCAAACAGGAUUAGAUACCCUGGUAGUCCACGCCGUAAACGCUGAUCGUUAGCCGGUGGAAUUGAUCACUGGCGCAGCUAACGCAUUAAACGAUCCGCCUGAGUAGUAUGCUCGCAAGAGUGAAACUUAAAGGAAUUGACGGGGACCCGCACAAGCGGUGGAGCAUGUGGUUUAAUUUGAAGAUACGCGAAGAACCUUACCCACUUUUGACAUCUUCCGCAACGCUAUGGAGACAUAGUUGAGGUUAACGGAAUGACAGAUGGUGCAUGGUUGUCGUCAGCUCGUGUCGUGAGAUGUUCGGUUAAGUCCGGCAACGAGCGCAACCCCUGUCUUUAGUUACUAACAUUUAGUUGAGGACUCUAGAGAGACUGCCUGGGUAACCAGGAGGAAGGUGGGGACGACGUCAAAUCAUCAUGCCUCUUACAAGUGGGGCUACACACGUGCUACAAUGGGUAAUACAAAGUGACGCUAACCGGCGACGGUACGCAAAUCACAUAAAAUUAUUCUCAGUUCGGAUUGGAGUCUGCAACUCGACUCCAUGAAGUCGGAAUCGCUAGUAAUCGUAGGUCAGCAAUACUACGGUGAAUACGUUCUCGGGUCUUGUACACACCGCCCGUCACACCAUGGGAGCUGGUAAUGCCCGAAGCCGGAUAGAUAACUUCGGAGUCUACUGUCUAAGGCAGGGCCGGUGACUAGGGUGAAGUCGUAACAAGGUAUCCCUACGAGAACGUGGGGAUGGAUCACCU
This 1505-nucleotide ribosomal RNA is filed under the name uncultured bacterium. RNAcentral's name for it is "bacterial SSU rRNA". It matches the Rfam family "Bacterial small subunit ribosomal RNA". The record is from RNAcentral.